Molecule: ribosomal RNA, 500 nt
Filed under: uncultured bacterium
Lineage: Bacteria
Description: partial 16S ribosomal RNA
Rfam family: Bacterial small subunit ribosomal RNA
Source: RNAcentral
AUUGAACGCUGGCGGCAGGCCUAACACAUGCAAGUCGAGCGGAUGAGAGGAGCUUGCUUCUCGAUUCAGCGGCGGACGGGUGAGUAAUGCCUAGGAAUCUGCCUGGUAGUGGGGGACAACGUUUCGAAGGGAACGCUAAUACCGCAUACGUCCUACGGGAGAAAGCAGGGGACCUUCGGGCCUUGCGCUAUCAGAUGAGCCUAGGUCGGAUUAGCUAGUUGGUGAGGUAAUGGCUCACCAAGGCGACGAUCCGUAACUGGUCUGAGAGGAUGAUCAGUCACACUGGAACUGAGACACGGUCCAGACCCCUACGGGAGGCAGCAGUGGGGAAUAUUGGACAAUGGGCGAAAGCCUGAUCCAGCCAUGCCGCGUGUGUGAAGAAGGUCUUCGGAUUGUAAAGCACUUUAAGUUGGGAGGAAGGGUUGUAGGUUAAUACCCUGCGGUUUUGACGUUACCGACAGAAUAAGCACCGGCUAACUACGUGCCAGCAGCCGCGGUAA